This 1366-nucleotide long non-coding RNA is filed under the name Homo sapiens (human). RNAcentral's name for it is "HSALNT0394365". The record is from RNAcentral. Lineage: Eukaryota; Metazoa; Chordata; Mammalia; Primates; Hominidae.
CCCUUGUGUUUAGCAUUCCAGUAAUGGAACACUAGCCAUAAUAAACCGUUCCAAAAAUGCGUUCUAAUGGCUCUCAAGCAAGGUCCACUUGCAGUGAAAUAAACCAGAGGUUUGAAUCAUGGCUUGAUACGAAAUUAUUGGAAAGAAUAUGGCGAUGACAUCCACAAUGCCGGUAAGAAGACGAAAUUACAAGCAGGAUGAAAAAUUUGUUCAAUGAAACACAGCUAUUAAGUGGCUGACCUAAUAAGUGUUAUGUAUAAGUGACUCAUCCAUUGUAGCUUCUGGGACUCAACUUUAGGAUCAUCGUCAUAUGCAGCCUGGAGCUAGCCAUAUUUGAAGAGCUAGGAAGGAGGCACAGUGAUUGACAAUCUCCUUUCUCCUCAACUAGAAUGUCAUUUCCUUUUUUAAAACUAAUUUAAAUCCCAUCUACAUUCAAUUGCUUGUCUAAAAUAAAACCCAACUCCUCUCUUAAAGACUUUAAAAAUAUUAUAUAGCAGAGUUCAUCCUUUCUUUCUUCAGAGAAAGCAUCAUGAAAACAUGUUUUCAGGACAUUAAUAACUUGAUAUUCACAACCAACCUUUAAAUUUGGAAACAAGGAAUUCAUAACUACGUUGUAUAUAUAUGAAGAAAGUAAGCCUCAGAGAAUUUCAAGAGCCCGUCCAGGAUAGUCUGCUUCAGAGCCAUGGUUCUCAAAGUAUAUCAGAUCUCCAGAGUAGGUCUGCAGUGGGAGCCAAAAUUUUGCAUUUCUAACUUGGUCCCAGGUGAUACUUGUGCUGGCGCUGCUAGUCUACACUUAACUCUAUUCACUUUUUUUGUGUUUUCUUAGGAUAAAGAAAAUAUUUAGAAGAUGAGAUUCCUGUGUUUCUGGCUUUCAUAACUUUUUAGAUUUCCUUUCUACUGGAAAACUUUUAACUUUGAAAACCGCAAGUAAUAUUUUUCUUCCUGAAACCUCUGCAGUGGUAGCAAUGCACUGAAGUUUGAUUAAAAGUUUACUGGUCAUUCCUGCCAUGAGAAGAUGAUAGAGAAUAUCACCACAGUGUGACUUGCUUCCAAGGCAGCAUGGUUUCAUGCAGAGGAUCUAAACUGGGGACCAUGUGCUGGGCUGCAAAAGGGCUGUGCAGUGCCUAAAAUGUUAUGCAAAAUUUUAUAAAGGUAGGUCAUGUAUUGCUCCAUUGAUGCUGCCCUUAUUCAUGAUGAUUAAAGCCUUUGGGAGGUAUUCCUUCAGAAUAAUUUGGUGUUGUUUUCUUCAGUCAAGAGGUCCACAGAGCUGUCUUUCAUUCUGUAGGUUUAUCAGCAACUGAUGCUUAAAACCUAUUAGGCACUGCAAAAAAAGUUUGAAUAGAAUCUGCAAAAGCUUGGAAAUCUG